CUGUCUCGUGUCGGAAGUUCUGUCAGUGUACAGGAUGAGCACAAGUGUUCAGUGCUGUUUUCCCAGCUGUCGUACAAUAGCCUUUUCAGCGGAUAUGGGUUUUGUAAGGCUUGUCUCAUUCCAGCUGAGACUUCCAGUCAUCCAGCACUGAACUAGUAAGAAGCUUCAGGCUUUUUUUUUU
Long non-coding RNA from Etheostoma spectabile (orangethroat darter), 181 nucleotides. RefSeq lists it as uncharacterized. NCBI's taxonomy places the organism in Eukaryota, Metazoa, Chordata, Actinopteri, Perciformes, Percidae. The transcript is spliced from 3 exons. The record is from RefSeq and is a predicted model, not a curated record.